GGCCUCCUGGUGCUCACCACAGGCUGUGUUCUUACACUGACUUUAUAGAAAGAGGAGGCCAAAGAAAACAUAUACCAUAUACACUUCAGCCCAGGCACAGGGCCUGGUCUGUAUUGUGAAUGGGGAAACACAG
RNAcentral lists this small nucleolar RNA (133 nucleotides) under Castor canadensis (American beaver). Its description in RNAcentral is "Small nucleolar RNA SNORA51 (ENSCCNG00000003772.1)". It matches the Rfam family "Small nucleolar RNA SNORA51". Rfam says of the family: ACA51 is a member of the H/ACA class of snoRNA that guide the sites of modification of uridines to pseudouridines. The record is from Rfam by way of RNAcentral. Lineage: Eukaryota; Metazoa; Chordata; Mammalia; Rodentia; Castoridae.